GGGAGACUAUGAAGACAAGUCGCUAGAUUUGUUGGAGUCGACCUUGAAAUACCACCCUUGACUAUUUGAAGUUCUAACUCAGGAGAAAUUCGAGGACAGUGUAUGGUGGGUAGUUUGACUGGGGCGGUCUCCUCCCAAAGAGUAACGGAGGAGUACGAAGGUGCACUCGGCAUGGUCGGAAAUCAUGCCAAGAGUAUAAAGGCAAAAGUGCGCUUGACUGCGAGAGUGACGGCUCGAGCAGGUACGAAAGUAGGUCUUAGUGAUCCGGUGGUCCUGUAUGGAAAGGCCAUCGCUCAACGGAUAAAAGGUACUCCGGGGAUAAC
This 323-nucleotide ribosomal RNA is filed under the name Moneuplotes crassus. RNAcentral's name for it is "partial Bacterial large subunit ribosomal RNA". It matches the Rfam family "Bacterial large subunit ribosomal RNA", at positions 2149 to 2478 of the family's 2925-position model. The record is from RNAcentral. Lineage: Eukaryota; Ciliophora; Spirotrichea; Euplotida; Euplotidae.